CCGUGCUAGAUGGGGAGCUAGCGGUUCCCUGUAACCUGCAACCCGCUAUAGCAGGAUCGAUCGCUUUUUAGAGGGACCACAGACCAUUAGCCUUAUCUAUGCAAGUGGUGAUGAAGGCUGGAUCUCAUGCAAUAGGAGAUGAUGUGAACCUGGUCAGAUGCGGAAGCAAGCAGCCAUAAACAUUCAUCCUUAUGUGCCGUGACAAAUCUGGUCUGAGCUUACUGCAUAGACAAACUAAUGGAAAUGGGAACGAAGAAAAGUGCACGG
This 267-nucleotide signal recognition particle RNA is filed under the name Planctomycetes bacterium GWA2_39_15. RNAcentral describes it as "signal recognition particle sRNA large type". It matches the Rfam family "Bacterial large signal recognition particle RNA". From Rfam's summary of the family: The signal recognition particle (SRP) is a universally conserved ribonucleoprotein involved in the co-translational targeting of proteins to membranes. Archaeal SRP consists of a 7S RNA and homologues of the eukaryotic SRP19 and SRP54 proteins. In most bacteria, the SRP consists of a 4.5S RNA and the Ffh protein (a homologue of the eukaryotic SRP54 protein). RNAcentral also lists the same sequence under 2 other names. Lineage: Bacteria; Pseudomonadati; Planctomycetota. The record is from RNAcentral.